This is a small nucleolar RNA of Alligator mississippiensis (American alligator), 76 nucleotides long. It matches the Rfam family "Small nucleolar RNA SNORD83". Rfam says of the family: U83 (SNORD83) and U84 (SNORD84) are members of the C/D class of snoRNA which contain the C (UGAUGA) and D (CUGA) box motifs. They act as guanine methylation guides but lack complementarity to ribosomal RNA. The record is from Rfam. NCBI's taxonomy places the organism in Eukaryota, Metazoa, Chordata, Crocodylia, Alligatoridae.
GCCAUAUGAUGUAAAAUAGAUGGCAGUAGCACUGUGUGCAAAGAUGACUUGCAUCUAUCACCCAAUACUGAUGGCU